RNAcentral lists this ribosomal RNA (609 nucleotides) under Streptomyces sp. Its description in RNAcentral is "bacterial SSU rRNA". It matches the Rfam family "Bacterial small subunit ribosomal RNA", at positions 372 to 991 of the family's 1533-position model. The record is from RNAcentral. Lineage: Bacteria; Bacillati; Actinomycetota; Actinomycetes; Kitasatosporales; Streptomycetaceae.
UGGGCGAAAGCCUGAUGCAGCGACGCCGCCUGAGGGAUGACGGCCUUCGGGUUGUAAACCUCUUUCAGCAGGGAAGAAGCGAAAGUGACGGUACCUGCAGAAGAAGCGCCGGCUAACUACGUGCCAGCAGCCGCGGUAAUACGUAGGGCGCAAGCGUUGUCCGGAAUUAUUGGGCGUAAAGAGCUCGUAGGCGGCUUGUCACGUCGGGUGUGAAAGCCCGGGGCUUAACCCCGGGUCUGCAUUCGAUACGGGCUAGCUAGAGUGUGGUAGGGGAGAUCGGAAUUCCUGGUGUAGCGGUGAAAUGCGCAGAUAUCAGGAGGAACACCGGUGGCGAAGGCGGAUCUCUGGGCCAUUACUGACGCUGAGGAGCGAAAGCGUGGGGAGCGAACAGGAUUAGAUACCCUGGUAGUCCACGCCGUAAACGGUGGGAACUAGGUGUUGGCGACAUUCCACGUCGUCGGUGCCGCAGCUAACGCAUUAAGUUCCCCGCCUGGGGAGUACGGCCGCAAGGCUAAAACUCAAAGGAAUUGACGGGGGCCCGCACAAGCAGCGGAGCAUGUGGCUUAAUUCGACGCAACGCGAAGAACCUUACCAAGGCUUGACAUACAC